GAUGAACGCUGGCGGCGUGCCUAAUACAUGCAAGUCGAGCGAACAGACGAGGAGCUUGCUCCUCUGACGUUAGCGGCGGACGGGUGAGUAACACGUGGAUAACCUACCUAUAAGACUGGGAUAACUUCGGGAAACCGGAGCUAAUACCGGAUAAUAUAUUGAACCGCAUGGUUCAAUAGUGAAAGACGGUUUUGCUGUCACUUAUAGAUGGAUCCGCGCCGCAUUAGCUAGUUGGUAAGGUAACGGCUUACCAAGGCAACGAUGCGUAGCCGACCUGAGAGGGUGAUCGGCCACACUGGAACUGAGACACGGUCCAGACUCCUACGGGAGGCAGCAGUAGGGAAUCUUCCGCAAUGGGCGAAAGCCUGACGGAGCAACGCCGCGUGAGUGAUGAAGGUCCUCGGAUCGUAAAACUCUGUUAUUAGGGAAGAACAAAUGUGUAAGUAACUAUGCACGUCUUGACGGUACCUAAUCAGAUAGCCACGGCUAACUACGUG
RNAcentral lists this ribosomal RNA (497 nucleotides) under uncultured bacterium. RNAcentral's name for it is "partial 16S ribosomal RNA". It matches the Rfam family "Bacterial small subunit ribosomal RNA", at positions 28 to 507 of the family's 1533-position model. The record is from RNAcentral.